UUAUGCCAUUUCAGACUCCUUACAGGAAGUCUAGCGAAGGGGACCUUAGUAAGGCACCUUAAAUUGAAAACUGCUUGUACAAUACCAACACUUUCAAACCCUGGCUCUACUAACAACAGCUUCAUUAGCUUAAAAAAAACAUAACUAAUGCUUCUUUGCAUCUGCACUUGUUGCAUCUGCAUUUCCAGUGCACUUUGUAUCUGCUAGUGAUGUUGGCUAUGAUUAUGUCCUCUUUUGAAAGUCGCUUUGGUUAUAAAGCGUCUGCCAAAUGCAAUGUAAUGUAAUGUAAAUAUCAUGUAUAUUUCCGUGUUUUAGGGAUGGCAAGGGGAGUGUUGACAAGAUGUUUAUAAAAAUAUAUGACAAUAAAAUAUACGACAAUAAAAUAUAUGACAAUAACAACACAAUAUUUUUCCUAGAGACAGAGGAGUCUAACCAACACACACUUUGUUCAUGAGUUCAAAGAGAUUGGCCAGACAGACAUGCACAAAAGAAUGGAAGAGGGCCCGGCGAGAAGGCUGUGCGAGAUGCAGCCAGGACAGGCCAGACUCAGGCAGAAGAGUGACCAAGAUCUUGUUUUCUCUCCACCACCAUCAUAUAGCCUAUGCCACAAACAUCAUCCAUUCAAAAUCUUCCGGAAUUACCCAUGGCGAAUAGGGGGCUUCAGUCAUGGAGAAACAAAAGAGGCUCCUUUUGAGGGUAACAGAUGAUUAAAAAAGAAGCUACCUAGCCAUGGAACUGCACAUGGAGCGAAUGACAAGGAGGAUGGAAGCUAUGAAGAGGAGCUGCAUUGGAUGUUCAUGUGUGGACUGUAUUUAAGUGUUGAUUUUAAAACGAUUAUGCAAAGAAGAGUUGGAAAAAUUCAUCCACAGCCAUGUCGGUUCUUGUAAACCCUUCACUAAAAUUGUUGCUGCUGGGGGUGGUACAUGAAGUUAUAAAGUUAACAGAGACAUAACUUGCAGGUUUUGUGGCAUCUCUUAAAUGUGCAGUGUGUACUCUUUCGAAUACUGUACUUCAUUUCCAGAGGUCAUGCUGCCCAUUCAAAAAUGUUACCUUUUGAACACCAUCAAAUUCUAAGUAUUCAUUGCUCUUCUCCAUGGUCAGUAGGCUAAUUAGCAUUUCCAGAAAUUGACAUUUUUAGCUGCAGGACUCACUGUAUUUGGACAUGCUGCUAAAUACUAGUUUAUUAUUUAGUAUUCAGUAUAUAUGCAGAGGCCACGAUCCUACACAGUGCAUUUUGAAUAAACUGCAUCUUGCCAGGGAUUAUGUCAUGUUUUGCUUGGGUCAUCCUUAUUUAAUGCACAUGUUUGUAAUGUUUGACGCUUGUUCUGAAAAUGUUAAGUGUGCAAUAAAGUAAAA
This is a long non-coding RNA of Engraulis encrasicolus (European anchovy), 1356 nucleotides long. RefSeq lists it as uncharacterized. The record is from RefSeq and is a predicted model, not a curated record. The transcript has 4 exons. NCBI's taxonomy places the organism in Eukaryota, Metazoa, Chordata, Actinopteri, Clupeiformes, Engraulidae.